AGGAUAGGAGAAGCGUAAAGAACUUCGGGAUCACUCAUGGGCGGAAGGUGUUGUGCAGAGUGGCUUUUGUGCUCUUCGCUGGGUCGAAACAUCAGCUGGAAGGCAAAGAAUAUGGCAAUAAGAGCAUACUGGACAACUGAUAAUAACAAGCAAUUUUGAAAA
Thamnophis sirtalis is the source of this 162-nucleotide non-coding RNA. The record is from RefSeq and is a predicted model, not a curated record. Lineage: Eukaryota; Metazoa; Chordata; Lepidosauria; Squamata; Natricidae.